Molecule: microRNA precursor, 58 nt
Filed under: Podarcis lilfordi (Lilford's wall lizard)
Lineage: Eukaryota; Metazoa; Chordata; Lepidosauria; Squamata; Lacertidae
Source: RNAcentral
UAUAUGUGUGUGUGUGUGUGUGUGUGUGUGCACACACACACACACACACACACGGAUG